RNAcentral lists this microRNA precursor (88 nucleotides) under Podarcis lilfordi (Lilford's wall lizard). Lineage: Eukaryota; Metazoa; Chordata; Lepidosauria; Squamata; Lacertidae. The record is from RNAcentral.
CUGGCUUCCCAGCAAAGCGGGAGGAGGAACGGAAGGGAGCCCUUACAGAGCCCCUUCCAUCCCUGAUCCUGCUUCGCUGGGAAGCCAG